RNAcentral lists this ribosomal RNA (900 nucleotides) under uncultured bacterium. RNAcentral's name for it is "bacterial SSU rRNA". It matches the Rfam family "Bacterial small subunit ribosomal RNA", at positions 87 to 964 of the family's 1533-position model. The record is from RNAcentral.
AUAUUUUAGUGGCGAACGGGUGAGUAACGCGUGGGUAACCUGCCCUCUUAUCGGGGACAACUUGCCGAAAGGUGAGCUAAUACCGGAUGUCCUAUCUAAAACACAAGUUUAAGAUAGCAAAGGUGGCCUCUUUAAAUGCUACCGUAAAAGGAUGGACCCGCGUCUGAUUAGCUAGUUGGUGAGGUAAUGGCUCACCAAGGCGACGAUCAGUAGCCGGCCUGAGAGGGUGAACGGCCACACUGGGACUGAGACACGGCCCAGACUCCUACGGGAGGCAGCAGUGGGGAAUCUUCCGCAAUGGACGAAAGUCUGACGGAGCAGCGCCGCGUGAGUGAUGAAGGUCUUCGGAUUGUAAAACUCUGUUUUUUGGGACGAACGGCUCAUAUGUAAAUAAUGUAUGAGAUUGACGGUACCAAAGGAGGAAGCCCCGGCUAACUACGUGCCAGCAGCCGCGGUAAUACGUAGGGGGCAAGCGUUGUCCGGAAUUAUUGGGCGUAAAGAGCGCGCAGGCGGGUCUGUCAGUCUACCGUGAAAGCUUACGGCUCAACCGUAACAGGUCGGUGGAUACUGCAGAUCUUGAGGGCAGGAGAGGAAAGUGGAAUUCCCAGUGUAGCGGUGAAAUGCGUAGAUAUUGGGAGGAACACCAGUGGCGAAGGCGACUUUCUGGACUGUUACUGACGCUGAGGCGCGAAAGCUGGGGGAGUGAACGGGAUUAGAUACCCCGGUAAUCCCAGCCGUAAACGAUGGGUACUAGGUGUAGGAGGUAUCGACCCCUUCUGUGCCGGAGUUAACGCAAUAAGUACCCCGCCUGGGGAGUACGGUCGCAAGACUGAAACUCAAAGGAAUUGACGGGGGCCCGCACAAGCGGUGGAGCAUGUGGUUUAAUUCGACGCAACGCGA